Long non-coding RNA from Brassica oleracea var. oleracea, 298 nucleotides. RefSeq lists it as uncharacterized. The record is from RefSeq and is a predicted model, not a curated record. NCBI's taxonomy places the organism in Eukaryota, Viridiplantae, Streptophyta, Magnoliopsida, Brassicales, Brassicaceae. The transcript has 4 exons.
ACAAAUCUCAGCUUUUUUUGCUUGGAUUUUGAAGACACCAAGAGUUUCGACGAAACCCUAACCAUUCGCCGAUUUUUCUCCGCCUCCACCGUUCGCGUCUGUCUCGCAGUCCUACAGCCUUCCGCUGGAACCUGGACUACUUUGAAUCCAUCUCAUGUGGCUAAAGCUCUAGCUGUUUGCUGUGUUUCAGCCAAGAGGAUGCUGAACUUUUCUUGCUCAGAGAAGAGAAUUGAAAACCAGUGCUAAGGUUGUUCCCACUAAUCUGGACCAGAUUUUAUUCAGAAAGUUUUUGGAAUAU